ACUUACGGCCAUACCAACCUGGCUAUGCCCGAUCUCGUCUGAUCUCGGAAGCUAAGCAGGUUUGGGCCUGGUUAGUACUUGGAUGGGAGACCGCCUGGGAAUACCAGGUGCUGUAAGCU
This 119-nucleotide ribosomal RNA is filed under the name Carassius auratus (goldfish). Lineage: Eukaryota; Metazoa; Chordata; Actinopteri; Cypriniformes; Cyprinidae. The record is from RNAcentral.